RNAcentral lists this ribosomal RNA (491 nucleotides) under uncultured bacterium. RNAcentral describes it as "partial 16S ribosomal RNA". It matches the Rfam family "Bacterial small subunit ribosomal RNA", at positions 29 to 507 of the family's 1533-position model. The record is from RNAcentral.
GUGAACGCUGGCGGUAGGCCUAACACAUGCAAGUCGAACGGCAGCACAGUAAGAGCUUGCUCUUACGGGUGGCGAGUGGCGGACGGGUGAGGAAUACAUCGGAAUCUACUUUUUCGUGGGGGAUAACGUAGGGAAACUUACGCUAAUACCGCAUACGACCUACGGGUGAAAGCAGGGGAUCUUCGGACCUCGCGCGUAUGAAUGAGCCGAUGUCGGAUUAGCUAGUUGGCGGGGUAAAGGCCCACCAAGGCGACGAUCCGUAGCUGGUCUGAGAGGACGAUCAGCCACACUGGAACUGAGACACGGUCCAGACUGCUACGGGAGGCAGCAGUGGGGAAUAUUGGACAAUGGGCGCAAGCCUGAUCCAGCCAUACCGCGUGGGUGAAGAAGGCCUUCGGGUUGUAAAGCCCUUUUGUUGGGAAAGAAAAGCAGCAGGUUAAUACCCCGCUGUUCUGACGGUACCCAAAGAAUAAGCACCGGCUAACUUCGUG